UUACACCAGCAUCCUGUUUCAAUCUGAAACAUGUAAGUAUUUCUAUUUCUGCUCAAAGAUAAAAGACAAUUUCUUUAGACACAGCAGGACUCAGGCAGGUUGAAGCAACACAGUGAGCGUGUGUCUUCAGCUGCAGCCAUGGCGCUCAGGUGGAUCAUUCUGUUCUUUGGCCUGGGACUGGCAGCAGCCAAGCUAACAGGUGACACAGAAAUUGAUGUUGAUGAAGGCCAAGACUGGGACAUCUUUAGCAUCAAUGAAGCGGCUGGUCUGGACCUGCUGGAGG
Molecule: long non-coding RNA, 283 nt
Organism: Micropterus salmoides (largemouth bass)
Lineage: Eukaryota; Metazoa; Chordata; Actinopteri; Centrarchiformes; Centrarchidae
Exons: 4
Source: RefSeq, a predicted model, not a curated record